Molecule: ribosomal RNA, 415 nt
Filed under: uncultured bacterium
Lineage: Bacteria
Description: bacterial SSU rRNA
Rfam family: Bacterial small subunit ribosomal RNA
Source: RNAcentral
AUAUUGGACAAUGGGCGCAAGCCUGAUCCAGCCAUCCCGCGUGCAGGAAGAAGGCCCUAUGGGUUGUAAACUGCUUUUGUCAGGGAAGAAACCUUCGGAUUUAUCCGGAGCUGACGGUACCUGAAGAAUAAGCACCGGCUAACUCCGUGCCAGCAGCCGCGGUAAUACGGAGGGGGCUAGCGUUGUUCGGAAUUACUGGGCGUAAAGGGCACGUAGGCUGGCUGUUAAGUCGGGGGUGAAAUCCUGAGGCUCAACCUCAGAAUUGCCUUCGAUACUGGCGGUCUCGAGUGCGGGAGAGGUGAGUGGAAUUCCCAGUGUAGAGGUGAAAUUCGUAGAUAUUGGGAAGAACACCAGUGGCGAAGGCGGCUCACUGGCCCGCAACUGACGCUGAGGUGCGAAAGCGUGGGGAGCAAAC